UCAAAUCAAAACAUGUCUUCAACACAGGUACAUGGGUAAAGGAUUUCCAUCUGCCAGCCACGUGGAAACCACGUGCUUACCAAUUAAGAAUAUCCUCGUUAUGUUUUUCAGAGCUAGCUUCUAUCAAAUGCCUUCAAAGAUUCCUAACACAGUUCAAUGGGGUAGUUUUUAAAGGUGAUUAAUUUGACCAUUAGCGAAGCUUAAACAUGUAUAAUGAACAGGGUUGAUUCCUAAUCCUUUGUAUCUGUUCUACCUUUGGAGUAAACACAUGCAUGUACUCCCUUAAUUAUUGUAAGGCCCGACGACAGCAGAUAUUAUUAUAAAAUUUACAACUUGAUAUUUUUAGAUUGAAAAGAAUUUCAACUUGUUUGAAUGAAAUUAUUUUACGUGACAGUGCAUAGAUAUGGCC
This 409-nucleotide long non-coding RNA is filed under the name Glycine max (soybean). RNAcentral describes it as "long non-coding RNA (GMAX_LNC003891)". Lineage: Eukaryota; Viridiplantae; Streptophyta; Magnoliopsida; Fabales; Fabaceae. The record is from RNAcentral.